Molecule: long non-coding RNA, 1534 nt
Organism: Anopheles stephensi (Asian malaria mosquito)
Lineage: Eukaryota; Metazoa; Arthropoda; Insecta; Diptera; Culicidae
Exons: 3
Source: RefSeq, a predicted model, not a curated record
GUUACGCGCGCGCUCAUGUCCCAACGGCCUCACAAACCGAAAUGUCCGUCCCGAUUACGUCCGAGUCGCUGGGGAGCUGUGUGAUGUUCGUUGGAGAGAGAGCGUACCGCGUGUCACUGUCCUAUUACGUGGACUCGCAAUCGAAGCCACCACCCAUCGGUGAUGAUCGUGAGUGAGGUGUGCGAUCGAUCGAUUCGCGUUGCACCGUUGCAGCAGACAAAGGGCUGCGAUGCGAGUUGAUGCAUCGCAUGAAGGGCACGUGAGCAUCGUACGCGAAGGGCACCUGACGGCUACGACGAUACGAUCUGGCCCCGUGUCUCGAUCGAGCGGUGAUCGGAUUUGGAAAGCCGGGGCGCUAUCACGCCAGAACGAGGUGGGAUAUGGUCAGACAAUCUGGUAGGCUAGUUUGUAAUUUAAAUUGGCAACACUGCCAACCCGAGUGGCCGGUCUGAGUGGUUGAGCAAUUUGUGCACAGUGCCGGUCAUAAUUGUCGGCACAGAUGGAGGGGAUUGAACAAUUCCAUUAGAUUUCUCUAUGUUUGGGUGUGUUCAGUCGCGAUGCCAAAGAUUCGUGUACCUUUUUUGACAUUACCUUACCGCAAUAUACGAUCUCGACCAAGGAAUCAUAUCGUGGAAUCGUAUCGGAUACUUCCGAAACAACAACGUUCAUGGUCUGGGGCUGCUAUUUACUUACCUCGCGUUAGCAGCUAGACGAGAAUUGAAGGCACACUUUGGAAAGUUUCAAGACGCCCAACACCAGAUACUGAACUCAAUUAUCAUCAACAGUGUGAAUCCCACCCCGGAUGAAAUCAGCACCAGGAUGACAAUUGCGCGCACCGGUAUGAAUUGGAAAAAUCCACCCCUAUUCGGAUGCCACACGUCGGAACGGCAGCCGGAACGGUCGGUACCAUAGUGAACCAUACAUCACGGCCACACGUGAGCACGUCUUGCAUAAUUGCCCUGCGUCGCUGUCAUUGCCACGAAGUUAGCGAAUGCGGAAUGAGGCAUGCACCGCGUAUAUGCACAUCACGGCCUUAAAAAUAGCAGCCGUUAGCUGGAUGGUAGAAGACCCUCCGAUGAACUUUUCGCAGACUACGUUCUACACACGAGCACGUGUCCACCAUUCAAUAGCACCUGUGGAUCGAUGUAACAACGUAGUCCCGAUGGAGUGCACGAGGCUAAUCGAAGCCUUGCCUCAAGAGCAAACGGCUUCGAUUACACCAUCCACGGGGAGACGAGAUCGAUGCGAUGAAAUAUCAGCCGCAGUCGAUUCUUGAGCAUCAACAGCGAACCACGGCCACCGCACAAUCAGCACCACACGAUUGACGUCAUUUAAAUCAAGAACUUUCUGACAAUAAUGCACACCAGGGCAGGACAUUGACCGGGUCCGCAAAUCGCUCUAAUCGAAAAAGCGAAUCCAAAGCAUCGCCUGCUAAUGGAAAAGCCAGCUGAAAUGCCAAUGGGCAAAUAGGUCAUACUGGGCUUGUUCGUUUUUGUUUUUUUUUUUUCAAUAAAAUCUUCCGAAUAAUCUGCAA